Molecule: long non-coding RNA, 524 nt
Filed under: Homo sapiens (human)
Lineage: Eukaryota; Metazoa; Chordata; Mammalia; Primates; Hominidae
Description: non-protein coding lnc-TMUB2-1:6
Source: RNAcentral
CCUCCCUCAGGACCAGCCCGGAAGUCUCUCCAAGAGCCCCAAAGUCCAGGAACCCCCACCCAAGGAUUCAGACACAGAACCCACAACCCAGGGCCCCUCGGAACGAGGAAAGGUUAUCAGGACAGGACGCAGGGAGCCAGAAGACCAUCUGAAGGAAGCCUGCUUCCAACGGGCCCAGCCUCCAGCCACCGCUCCUGGGGCAGCGCCAUUGCUCCUGGCUCUCAGGCUGCCAGUCUCCCACACCGACGCUCUACUGCCCGCAUCUCGGCCAGCUGGGUCACCCAGCCCCUUUCGACUCUCCCCUGGCACGCAGCCUUCUCCUUCACUCGGCCUGCCUCGCUGCUGCUGUAAUUCCUCUUGUCUCCUGGGAGAAAUGAGAUUGCUUUCCCAGGACUUCCACAUCCCACUUCUAUCAGGUUUCACCAACAGGGAGGAAGCCCUGUCAAGAUCUGAAGAAAUACGGACUUUAAUGAAGAGUUUUCCUUUUGCUACAAGUGAGACCCGGGGAAACAUCCCAACAACGA